This 997-nucleotide long non-coding RNA is filed under the name Sus scrofa (pig). RNAcentral's name for it is "lncRNA (ENSSSCG00030052987.1)". The record is from RNAcentral. Lineage: Eukaryota; Metazoa; Chordata; Mammalia; Artiodactyla; Suidae.
AUGGAUGAGUCUAAAUUUUUUCCUAUCAUUUAUCUUCAGCAAAUACAUUUUAGGUAUUCAACAAGUAAUUUGACUAAUGGAUAUAUUCCAAUGUUUCUCUUUCAGUUUGUUCUCAGAAAAUUGGUUAGGAAUUCAUCCACUGCCCACAUACCCAUAAGAAACAAAGAAAAUAAAAGAUACAGAAGAAAAUUGAGCCUUUGCUUGAACCCUCAACUCCUGGCCUUGACCCCGUCUCAUCCUAAACUUCAGCAGAACAAAAGAUAAAAGUUCUACAUAUAGAUGAAGUACUUAUGGUAAGUAGUGUUAAUUCACUUAUUUUCACUAACAUUGUGCUGGAUGUUAGGAUGAAUAGGGUGUUAAGACGAAUAAGAUAGCAUUCCUGAUUGUAACUAACCGAUGAAUUAAUGGGAGAGAGAGACAAUAAUUGACCAUUACAAUAUGUGUGACAAAUGAGAAUUCCAUAUGUUCAUGAAGGCAUGAUAAGAUCUAUACUUUGUUACAAUGCUUGUUGGAGUAUGAGUUACAGCAACCUUCCUGCAAGCAGUUUGGUAAUAAGUACUCAAAAUUUUAAAAUGUUCUUGAAUUUGGAUGGUUUAUACAUGACACAUUAAGGAGCCCUUGUAUGAGGUCUAGUAGGGAGGACGGGAUCAGAGUUAUAUUUCAGAAAGUUUACUUUGGCUUAAUGUAGGGAAUGGAUUGGAGGGGGGGUGCAGGAUUGGAAGCAAGGAGAUUAAUUAAUAAGCUAUCAUAGCAACCCAACAUUUUUCUAAUCUAAAAAAAGAUGAGGACCUGGAAUAGGGCCAUGAUUAUGUCUGGCUUAUUUGAGCCUGAUAUGGUUCUAGUCUUACCUCAAAAGUGCCUCUUCUAGUCCUGAGAUGGAGUAUCACAAGAAAGAUUUACAAAGGUGUUUACUGAUGCAAUGCUUAUAAUAUUAAAAAAAUUGUACACACUAAAUAUCCAAGUUACCCUUAAACAAAUCGUAACAUGUCAAUUUGAU